This 756-nucleotide ribosomal RNA is filed under the name Legionella pneumophila. Its description in RNAcentral is "partial 23S ribosomal RNA". It matches the Rfam family "Bacterial large subunit ribosomal RNA", at positions 2168 to 2925 of the family's 2925-position model. Lineage: Bacteria; Pseudomonadati; Pseudomonadota; Gammaproteobacteria; Legionellales; Legionellaceae. The record is from RNAcentral.
ACGCUAGUUCUCAUGGAGCCGCCCUUGAAAUACCACCCUGUUGUUAUUGAGGUUCUAACUUGGUCCAGUAAUCCUGGAUGAGGACAGUGUAUGAUGGGUAGUUUGACUGGGGCGGUCUCCUCCCAAAGAGUAACGGAGGAGCACAAAGGUACCCUCGGUACGGUCGGACAUCGUACCAAGAGUGUAAAGGCAAAAGGGUGCUUGACUGCGAGAGUGACGGCUCGAGCAGGAACGAAAGUUGGUCUUAGUGAUCCGGUGGUUCUGAAUGGAAGGGCCAUCGCUCAACGGAUAAAAGGUACUCCGGGGAUAACAGGCUGAUACCGCCCAAGAGUUCAUAUCGACGGCGGUGUUUGGCACCUCGAUGUCGGCUCAUCACAUCCUGGGGCUGAAGCAGGUCCCAAGGGUAUGGCUGUUCGCCAUUUAAAGUGGUACGCGAGCUGGGUUUAGAACGUCGUGAGACAGUUCGGUCCCUAUCUGCCGUGGGCGUAGGAAAAUUGAGAGGAGCUGCUCCUAGUACGAGAGGACCGGAGUGGACGAACCUCUGGUGCACCGGUUGUCACGCCAGUGGCAUGGCCGGGUAGCUAAGUUCGGACGGGAUAACCGCUGAAAGCAUCUAAGCGGGAAGCCUCCCUCAAGAUGAGUUUUCCCAUGAAGCCCGUUGAAGACUACGACGUUGAUAGGCAAGGUGUGGAAGCGCAGUAAUGCGUGAAGCUAACUUGUACUAAUUGGCUGAUUGUCUUGACCAUAUAAUCUGAG